Molecule: ribosomal RNA, 253 nt
Filed under: uncultured bacterium
Lineage: Bacteria
Description: partial 16S ribosomal RNA
Rfam family: Bacterial small subunit ribosomal RNA
Source: RNAcentral
GACGAACCACACGAACGUUAUUCGGAAUUACUGGGCUUAAAGGGUGCGUAGGCGGCGCGGUAAGUAGGGUGUGAAAUCCCUCGGCUCAACCGAGGAACUGCGCUCUAAACUACCGUGCUUGAGGGAGGUAGAGGUGAGCGGAACUUAGGGUGGAGCGGUGAAAUGCGUUGAUAUCCUAAGGAACACCGGUGGCGAAGGCGGCAUUCUGGACCGAUAUUGACGCUGAGGAGCGAAAGCCAGGGGAGCAAACGGG